Molecule: long non-coding RNA, 345 nt
Filed under: Prunus persica (peach)
Lineage: Eukaryota; Viridiplantae; Streptophyta; Magnoliopsida; Rosales; Rosaceae
Description: long non-coding RNA (PPER_LNC006711)
Source: RNAcentral
UCAAAGCUAAACCACACAUAUAUAUAUAUAUAUAUAUAUAUCUUAGAUGUGAAAGAAGAAGAAUCAAAAUGCUCUCUCUGAGUUUGAACCCUUCUUUUGCAACAACAUUAUUGUUUGUCCUCCUCCUUAAAAGCCUAACCCGUGAAGAAAUUCUUGUCCUCAUUGCUUCUUUAUUUUACCUUUGAGACCUUUGAGAAGGAAACCAAAAAAAAAAAAACAGAAAAGAAGAAGAAAGAUAUUCUUGAUCUGUAAAAGAUAUUUGAAUGGUGACAAAAAGGAACCCCACCACUUGCCACAAAGUUAGAAACCCAGAGAUAAAAUAAUUUAACGUUAUUAAAAUGCUUU